GAUUCGUCACACUAUCAUUAACUGAAUCCAUAGGUUAAUGAGGCGAACCGGGGGAACUGAAACAUCUAAGUACCCCGAGGAAAAGAAAUCAACCGAGAUUCCCCCAGUAGCGGCGAGCGAACGGGGAGGAGCCCAGAGCCUGAAUCAGCAUGUGUGUUAGUGGAAGCGUCUGGAAAGGCGCGCGAUACAGGGUGACAGCCCCGUACACAAAAGCGCAUGUGCUGUGAGCUCGAUGAGUAGGGCGGGACACGUGGUAUCCUGUCUGAAUAUGGGGGGACCAUCCUCCAAGGCUAAAUACUCCUGACUGACCGAUAGUGAACCAGUACCGUGAGGGAAAGGCGAAAAGAACCCCGGCGAGGGGAGUGAAAAAGAACCUGAAACCGUGUACGUACAAGCAGUGGGAGCACCCUUUGGGGUGUGACUGCGUACCUUUUGUAUAAUGGGUCAGCGACUUAUAUUCUGUAGCAAGGUUAACCGAAUAGGGGAGCCGUAGGGAAACCGAGUCUUAACCGGGCGUUAAGUUGCAGGGUAUAGACCCGAAACCCGGUGAUCUAGCCAUGGGCAGGUUGAAGGUUGGGUAACACUAACUGGAGGACCGAACCGACUAAUGUUGAAAAAUUAGCGGAUGACCUGUGGCUGGGGGUGAAAGGCCAAUCAAACCGGGAGAUAGCUGGUUCUCCCCGAAAGCUAUUUAGGUAGCGCCUCGUGAAUUCAUCUCCGGGGGUAGAGCACUGUUUCGGCUAGGGGGCCAUCCCGGCUUACCAACCCGAUGCAAACUGCGAAUACCGGAGAAUGUUAUCACGGGAGACACACGGCGGGUGCUAACGUCCGUCGUGAAGAGGGAAACAACCCAGACCGCCAGCUAAGGUCCCAAAGUCAUGGUUAAGUGGGAAACGAUGUGGGAAGGCCCAGACAGCCAGGAUGUUGGCUUAGAAGCAGCCAUCAUUUAAAGAAAGCGUAAUAGCUCACUGGUCGAGUCGGCCUGCGCGGAAGAUGUAACGGGGCUAAACCAUGCACCGAAGCUGCGGCAGCGACACUGUGUGUUGUUGGGUAGGGGAGCGUUCUGUAAGCC
RNAcentral lists this ribosomal RNA (1072 nucleotides) under Salmonella enterica subsp. enterica. RNAcentral describes it as "partial 23S ribosomal RNA". It matches the Rfam family "Bacterial large subunit ribosomal RNA", at positions 137 to 1249 of the family's 2925-position model. Lineage: Bacteria; Pseudomonadati; Pseudomonadota; Gammaproteobacteria; Enterobacterales; Enterobacteriaceae. RNAcentral also lists the same sequence under 1 other name. The record is from RNAcentral.